Molecule: ribosomal RNA, 440 nt
Filed under: uncultured bacterium
Lineage: Bacteria
Description: partial 16S ribosomal RNA
Rfam family: Bacterial small subunit ribosomal RNA
Source: RNAcentral
CCUACGGGUGGCAGCAGUGGGGAAUAUUGCACAAUGGGGGAAACCCUGAUGCAGCGACGCCGCGUGAGUGAAGAAGGUAUUCGGUAUGUAAAGCUCUAUCAGCAGGGAAGAAAAUGAUGGUACCUGAUUAAGAAUCAGCGUCUAACUACGAGCCAGAAGCCGCGGGAAUACGCAGGGGGCAAGAGUGAUCUGGAGUUACUGGGUGUAAUGGGGGGGUAGUCGGCAGCUCAAGUAUGGAGUGAAAUGCCGGGGCUUAACCCCGGAACUGCGUGGGAAACUGGGAAGCGAGAGUGGAGGAGAGGUAAGUGGAAUGCGUAGUGUAGCGGUGAAAUGCGUAGAUAUUGGGAGGAACACCAGUGGCGAAGGCGGCUUACUGGACUGUAACUGACGUUGAGGCACGAAAGCGUGGGGAGCGAACAGGAUUAGAUACCCCAGUAGUC